UGGGGAAUUUGGACAAUGGGCGCAAGCCUGAUCCAGCCAUGCCGCGUGCGGGAAGAAGGCCUUCGGGUUGUAAACCGCUUUUGUCAGGGAAGUAAAUCUUCUGAGUUAAUACCUCGGGAGGAUGACGGUACCUGAAGAAUAAGCACCGGCUAACUACGUGCCAGCAGCCGCGGUAAUACGUAGGGUGCAAGCGUUAAUCGGAAUUACUGGGCGUAAAGCGUGCGCAGGCGGUUUUGUAAGACAGAGGUGAAAUCCCCGGGCUCAACCUGGGAACUGCCUUUGUGACUGCAAGGCUUGAGUGCGGCAGAGGGGGAUGGAAUUCCGCGUGUAGCAGUGAAAUGCGUAGAUAUGCGGAGGAAACACCGUGGCGAAGGCAAAUCCCCUGGGCCUGCACUGACGCUCAUGCACGAAAGCGUGGGGAGCAAACAGGAUUAGAUCCCUGGUAGUCCACGCCCUAAACGAUGUCAACUGGCUUGUUGGGAAGGUUCCUUCUCAGUAACGUAGCUAACGC
RNAcentral lists this ribosomal RNA (511 nucleotides) under uncultured bacterium. RNAcentral describes it as "partial 16S ribosomal RNA". It matches the Rfam family "Bacterial small subunit ribosomal RNA", at positions 356 to 858 of the family's 1533-position model. The record is from RNAcentral.